RNAcentral lists this ribosomal RNA (467 nucleotides) under uncultured bacterium. RNAcentral's name for it is "partial 16S ribosomal RNA". It matches the Rfam family "Bacterial small subunit ribosomal RNA", at positions 36 to 507 of the family's 1533-position model. The record is from RNAcentral.
UCCUCCCUCUUUCUUCGUGCUUAACACAUGCAAGUCGAACGGAAAGGCCCUGCUUUUGUGGGGUGCUCGAGUGGCGAACGGGUGAGUAACACGUGAGUAACCUGCCCUUGACUUUGGGAUAACUUCAGGAAACUGGGGCUAAUACCGGAUAGGAGCUCCUGCUGCAUGGUGGGGGUUGGAAAGUUUCGGCGGUUGGGGAUGGACUCGCGGCUUAUCAGCUUGUUGGUGGGGUAGUGGCUUACCAAGGCUUUGACGGGUAGCCGGCCUGAGAGGGUGACCGGCCACAUUGGGACGGAGAUACGGCCCAGACGCCGACGGGAGGCAGCAGGGGGAAUAUUGCACAAUGGGCGGAAGCCUGAUGCAGCAACGCCGCGUGCGGGAUGACGGCCUUCGGGUUGUAAACCGCUUUCGCCUGUGACGAAGCGUGAGUGACGGUAAUGGGUAAAGAAGCACCGGCUAACUACGUG